RNAcentral lists this long non-coding RNA (15058 nucleotides) under Triticum aestivum (bread wheat). Its description in RNAcentral is "long non-coding RNA (TAES_LNC001160)". The record is from RNAcentral. Lineage: Eukaryota; Viridiplantae; Streptophyta; Magnoliopsida; Poales; Poaceae.
UUUGCUUUGGUUUAUUUUCUUUAAUUUAUUUACAGUAUUUUUUAAUAGCAAUUAGUUUCAUAAAAUAUAGGGACAAUACCUAAAUUGGUGUUACUAAUUAUACCAAUGUCACAAUUAGUUUGAGGUCCGAAUAACAUAGUUUAGUAUUUUUAUAAUUUAAAAAGCAUUUAAUAUUUUGUUUUAGCCAAUGUUAUAUUCACAAAAGGGCAUUUAAAUAUUUUACAAAUGUGUUGGGUCAACACCAUAAUUAGUUAUGGAGUAUUUGCCACAUUUGAACAUUUUAUUUUAGACAUUUGAAAACUUUUGAGUUUGACUCAAUUUUGAAUUUGAAAUUUGAACCGGUUUCGAACCAACGCGAGUUUAUCAAUAGUAACCGUGGUGACGUGGCCUCAUUAGAAGAGGGUUACUGCAGCUUAAUUAUCUGGGCGUCACAAUUCUCCUCCACUACAAGAAAUCUCGUCCCGAGAUUUAAGGGGUGGAGUAAGGGGAAAGGACUCGGGAAGGAUGGAGCUCAACACAAAAUAGGUACCUGGGGGCUAUCUCGCGAACGUGGUAUAAAGGCAUCUCCCGAGUUGAAAUUCAAGAAGUCAUCGAGAGCAAGGUAAGGAGGAGCAAUAAGAAGCUUCAAGCGAGUAGGCAACCAUACGUUACCUGAAAUAGAGGGUGAAAGGGGUUCAGAGCAAUGGGAAUAAGUAUCGCGUCUGAUAGCAGAAUAGAUCACUAGGAAGGUGGCUCGUGAUUUACAUACAAAGCCAAGUGCAAAGAAUAUUUUGGAGUCAAGGUUUUACACGAGAGUCAGGUUUCGAUCCUGUGGAACUGUGGGUUAUGGGCCCACCAUGUGGGUUAAAAGCAAGAAGGGUGCUAACAUUUUGUAUGGUCAUGAUAGCAAGGCAGGUUAGAGGACAACCUGUCAGUUAUGUUGGCAACAAUUUUGGUACCAAGGGCGAGGAACAAAGAGAACCAUUUUCCUACUCGUUAAGACGAGGCGGGUCAAUAGGCAAUGUUCUCGUCCAUCGGUGGCUACCGGAAUGUCAUCAACAAUAGUAACAAGGUCUUACUGACAGAGUUUGUACACUUAGGGGUAUACAUAAGCAGGGAUUUAUCACUACUCAAAUAUGUUAGGUUACAAGAAAGUUAAUCAGAACAGUGGAGAGAAAAGUGUAGACUCGAAUCAGUUAUCGGUGUUCUCGAGUGUCUAACAACUCAGAACCCAUGGAAAAUUUGAAUUGGCGAGAAAUAAUAGUUGAUGAAGAACUCAUAAGAAGUUAUGUAGUUCCGUGAUAUUCUCGAGAUACCAAAGGGUAAUACUCGAAGGUAGUUCAAAGUAGAGGUUGGACAAGGGAAACGAUCUAAAGAAGACAAGUACUUUAACUUGUCCGAGAAAUGGAAUCAAAGGAGAACAAUCACAGUCGGAACCACAGUUGCAAAGAACUAAAUAUAGAUACAAGAUAAAUUUAUCACAAGAGGAUUAUUAUUAUAAGAAAAAGCUUCCAUGAUAGGAUGUACAUCGUGUCCAUGGGCAUGAACACAAAGUUCAAGGUCGACUCCCACUUCUUCAAUGCAUAACCUUUCAUUCACUUCUCGCUUUCGGUGAAUUUGUAGUGUUGAUAUUUUAUCUGGCAACACAUCAGAAGAGUAAGACUCAUGAAGACUCUCGGGUUCAAAAAGAUUAGGGAGGCGUAGGUUCAACCCAUAGGGGCAUCUUAGGAACCUAUACCACAAACUUCAUGAGUAAAUAACUCAAGCCCAGAAGCGGAGUAUGGUUGACAAGAGCGAGGGAUACCAUUUACCAAAGGUUACUCAAUAUGAAGGACAUUGUCGGAUAAAAUCCACAAAGGAUCUGGUGGUCCACAAGGGAUCUGAUGUGAGUAUCGGUACUCACCCAGAAGAAGAUAGAAUGCAAGGAUAUCAGAUUAUAGAAACAACUAACUAAUUCAAAGCUUAACUGUAAAGGAAUUAUGAUUUCCAAGACGGUGGAUCAAAAGUAGAGGCUCUGAUCAAAGAUGAAUAAGUUGAAUAGACAUAGAUCGACAAUCAAACAAGGUUUGAUUUGUCGAACACCAGCUCAUGUCCAGAGUGACGUCUGAGCCAAGGGAAGAAUUCUAAUUAGGACUGAUGAUCGUUAGCAUUCACAAACUUAGCGAAUCAAAUGCUUGAAAUUACAAUGACAAAGGAUGCUAAUGAGUAUUGCUGGACAUAUGGAAGUAACCAUAAUGCAAGCAGAUAAGGAGGAACAAGAGUAAUAGGCCACUGAGCAUUUUCGGAAGAUCAAAUAGUUUUUUUGGGCAUCUUCUUAUAACAAGAGCAAUUGGGGAUGAAGGUAUGAACGGAAAUGUAGGAAUUUACCCAUAAGGAUUUAUCGGUGGUAGGGAUCGCAACGACAAAGGGCACAAGGGUCUCGAGAAAACAUCGGAGAGUAUCUUCAGAAUCUUCUGGUGAAGCGGGCCACUACAAGAAAUAUGUCAACUCGUGACCACCACUAUUGGUCACUGAAAGGUCAUGGUUUUUCAUUUGCGACCUUUUUGUGACCAAAAACAGAAGGUCAAAAGCUGAGGGUCGUAAACUGACUAUAGCGACCUUCUCUGUGAGAAGGUCGUAGACGUUUACGACCAAAAUAUACCUACUGUGGCGUUUUGGUCACUAGCAACCUCCCCAGGCCACGUAGGCAUCCAGCAUGGCAAGCUGAUGUGGCACAAGAUUCAGCCCAGUCCAAUUCGGUUUUCUACAUGGGCCGAGCCCAACAAUUCGGCCUAUUCGUGUUUUUUUCUCAUAUUAAUUUUGAUUAGGUAGAUGGGCCAAGCCCAACAUUUCAGCCUCGUUAUUUUUGGGCCUAGGCCUUUUUAUUUUCUUGGCCUUCACCUUUUCACAAUUGAUUUUUAAGCGAUUUUUGUUCAUUUUUUCUCAAUUGUUUGAUUUGUGGCCUUUUUAGGGCCCAAAUAGUAUUUGCUUCAUUUCUGAUGUAUCAGCAAUUAAGGAUCAGCACCUCAAAAAAACAAUAAAUGAUCAAUAUUUCCAAUAUUUCAACCACACAAAUUUUCACAAAUGACGUCCAAAACGAGUAUAUUAUAUAUAUUACAAUCAUGCGGUAGUCCACAUCGUCCAGGAAUUUAGAACACCCAGGAACAUCCAGGAAUAUCUAUGAAGUAAACAAACACCCAGGAACACCCAGGAACAUCUAUGAAGUAAACACCCAGGAACAUAAAACUAGCUACAAAGAUGAAGUGUUCCCUUCUUCGAACUUCUUCAACCCAGAGCUCCUGUAGAAGAGAGGAAAUUAUCAUUAUCAUGGCUGUCAAUGAAAGCAAUAUCUUCCAACAAAGAACAACUAGGAAAAGAAUAGUGAACAGAAUAAUAAACAGAUACACAAGCAUGAGGGCAUGGAUAACAGUAGAAACACUAACGUAAGCAGCAAAUUGAAUACCAAUCAUUAAUAUACUGUUGCUGAGGCAUUAGUAUAAUGAACAGAAAAAUAAAUAGAUCUUGAAGCAUUAGUAUACUGCUGCUGAGGCCAAAACCAAACAAAUGCAAUGGCAACACUAACGUAAGCAGGAAAGCAGCAAAGUAGAUGUGCCCACUAUCCGUCUAAGCAAACACAGAAGUGCAAUGCUAGAGAUACAUGUAUGCACCAAGAAAAACUGGCAAUGUGAACAAUAACUCUGGGAGUAAAAAGAACAUAAAUAAUACAACAAUCUCUAAACACCUAGGUAGUAACUAGAAUGGUUGCUUGAUGUUCAUAGUAACUAGAAUAGUUACAAACACGGGACAGUGUGCAUGCAUGAGCAGGUGCAGGACCGAAUGAACCAUGGCAGCAGCAGCAGUGAUUAUGGGUGUUGAAGGGAAGGCAGAGUGGGCAGCAGCAGUGAUUACCAGGAAGUUGUGGUAGACGAACGCCCUGGGCUCCCACGAGAUGACCUCCAUCCACUAUGCACCGCGCUUGCCCAGCCCCUCGUUGCACCCACCCACGAGAAUAUGGUAUGCAAGAUGCCUGCAACACAUUCAUACAUGACAAUCAUUAGGAACACAGUAAAGAGAACUACACUAAAAAGAAAAGCAGACACGUUUGUUAUAACUGGUCCGUUCGAAGACUAAUGGUAGAAAGGAAUGCAAGCAAUUGCUUCAGUUUUUCUUUUCGCACAAGUGCAAAUGUCAACAUGAAACAAGGAGCUCAAGGAAUCAAUCCCCAACACAUCAGUACAACAGUUGCAACUAAUCAGACCACAUCAUAAAUAACGGGCCACGAUAUACUAGUAAAUUGAACUACUACUGCUACUGCUCAGUACAUCAGUAUCAAAGAGUGGAUUUCGGCUACCAUAUAUACAUGUACUAAUAAACUACUGUACUAGUAAAAGAGGGAACACAAAAGGCAAAAAUUGGAAUAGCAGAGAAGAAGCAUGGAAGAGGGACAAUUAAUCUCUUGGCUAACCGCUAACAGCUAAAAUCCUCUGGGCUAUGAACUUCAACCAGGACAGUUAAUCUCUUGGCUAACUGCUAACAACAAAGAAGUGCCCAUACAGCCAAUUUACUUCCCUAUAAUGAUUAUAAGAACUAGAAAUAAAAGAUAUAUCAUAGUACUGAACAGUUGAGCAGUUGCAGAUCCAUCUAAUCAUGUGGAAAGUCAGUGAGCAGUUGCAGAUCCACCAUUGCCACCAUCUAGUCACGAGGAUUGGAGUCCUCCCCAGUCUUGACACUGAGCUUUUGCUUCCCUGUGACCUGCAGAUAGGUCACCAACAUAAACCAUUUGAAAUGAUUAAACAAGUGCACUGGAAGCAGUUUAGAUCAGCAUACAAACAUAACACUACAUCUCUGUUUCUAAACUGGAGAGCCAAGAGAAGAACUAUAACAGAUGUAGUUCUCUGCCUCAACAUGCUGUAAUAAUAUUAUCUCUGUUGAUCCAUGUCCAUCUGGGUUAAUAUGAAAUGUAAAAAAAUUGAAUGAGCCAAAUUGGUACAUCAUUACAAAUGAUUACUUGCUAAGAGAAACAAGUCAGAAAACAAAGCUGCAUAUAACCACCUAAAUAUUAUGGUCAAGUACUAAUUAUCAAACUGGCAUAUCCACUUGUCUGCUACUCCCUAUGUAAUCAAAUGCAAGACAUUUUAGGUCACUUCACAGAUUUAGUAGUUUGUAAGUAGAAGAAUAGAAAUUUGAAGAAAAAAAUGGUGGAGCCACACUGAGAUCACGGGACAUAACAGGUGUUCAAAUCAAUGGAAAGCAAAUGUAUUUUGGAGAUGGAACCAUCCCUCUCUCAGAAUAAUCAGAGCCCAAAAUUCCACAUGCUGAUCGAUUAAUAUGCCAAACAGGGGGAUCGGCUGAGGGGCUCACCGCGGUGCGGAUGAUGAGCUCGGGGAGGCCGGAGACGUCGGAGCAGCGAGGGCAACGCAGAUUGACGGGGGAAGGCGCGCGGCGGCUGACAGGGAAGAAGCUCGGAUCCGGCGAUGUGAGGGCACCCAGCUUGAACUGGUGGCCGUAGUCGAUGCAGAGGGGAGCUGCGGAGCUCGUGGACACCUUCCCAUGUCGCGGAUCCGGCGAUGUGGUGGGUGAGGAGGUGCGGAUUGACGAGAUCCACCCGUCAUCAUCACCCUUCUCGAGGUUCUUGACGCUUGGGUGAUGCGGAUGCGGUGCUGCGCCUCCUGCGGGUGACGCGGAUGCGGUGCUGCGCCUCCUGCGGGCCCUCGAAGCCGGCCUUUCCGGCCUUCAUCGGCGACGGGCCCUUGGAGGGGAGGGGACCUCUAGCCAGGGAGGGGAGGGGAGGGGAGGUGGCGCCGGCGGCGAAGUGGAUGCGGUCGCCAGCAGGAGGAGGUGGCCGUGGAGGAGGUCGUCGCCGCGGUCGAAUGGAUCUAGGAUGUAGGGAGAGGGGAGAAGGNNNNNNNNNNNNNNNNNNNNNNNNNNNNNNNNNNNNNNNNNNNNNNNNNNNNNNNNNNNNNNNNNNNNNNNNNNNNNNNNNNNNNNNNNNNNNNNNNNNNNNNNNNNNNNNNNNNNNNNNNNNNNNNNNNNNNNNNNNNNNNNNNNNNNNNNNNNNNNNNNNNNNNNNNNNNNNNNNNNNNNNNNNNNNNNNNNNNNNNNNNNNNNNNNNNNNNNNNNNNNNNNNNNNNNNNNNNNNNNNNNNNNNNNNNNNNNNNNNNNNNUGGGGGCGGCGGUAGAUCGAGAUCGGGGAGGGGGCGGUGGCAGAUCGAGAUCGGGGAGGGGGCAGCGGCGAGGAGAUGGGGACGAGGGAGGAAGGGGGCGACGGGGGGAUCUGAGCUAGGGUUUGGCCUGCGGGUGGGGGUAUCUCCUUUUCUUUUUUUUGUAGAUAGAUGGAUGGAUGGAUGUGGGAUGGAGAUAUGGAUAGAUGGAUGGAUGGACGCCAUGUCAUCGAUCCCUGGACAGAGUUACGAUUGGUUCAGAAAAUCAGUGAUGUAAAAUAGUUUUCAAAUACUAAAAAUAGAGGGAUUUUAUGAAGUAGCUAUUAAAAAUAUUUUGCAAAAGGGCACCACACAAACUUUCACUAGAGUUAGACCACAUUUUAUGGAUUAGGACUAGUUUGUAUGCAUUUUUCAUAUUUCUAGCUAUUUUUAAUCAUUUUUUGAGUGGCAAAAAUGUUUUUUUUGUGAAGAACCAACCAAAUAAUUGUUGCAAAAUUGGACCUAAUCAAUUUUAUAAAAUACUAUGCCAUAUUUAAUGCACAAUUGACCAAAUGGUUUGGUGUAAAAAGUUUUGAUCCACCUCUCAUCAAAAAAACAAAUUUCCGCCGAUUCAGUUGGAAGCGUGUCAAAUUUGAACUGCAGCUGCCUCAUAGUUUGCUAUUUAUUUUUUCCAAAAAUCAUUUCUAGUUACAUAAGUAUCAAUUUAAUCAGAGAAACACCAAAAAAAUUCCAAGAUUCAACCACUAGCUAGGAACGGUCAUUCCCGCCAUUUUGACCGCAUUUUGAAAUGGGCAUAAAAAAUUAAAAAAUCAAAAAAUUGGAAAACCUUCGCAUUGUGUCAUUAUAUGUCGACAAGUUCCUAGGAAAAAUAACAAACUUCUAAUACGGCAAUUAUUUUAAAAAAGUGUUCUCAGAAAUGAGCUAUCAUCUCUCAAGAUUCAUGGCUUUCAAGCCAAAUGAUCAAUCUUAUGGCCACAUUCGUGGCAUAGUUUGUUCAAAUGAUCUCAUAUUGUGCACAAGGGUGCAUAUUGGAAUGGCAAACAAUGUUGCCUAAGGAAGUUUUCAUUUUCUUUGGACAAAAAAACCAUUUUUCAUUUUCCGAGUGCCCAAAAGGAGGUUAUUUUGUGAAGGACCUCCCAAAUAAUUGUUGCAAAAUUGGACCAAAUCAAUUUUCUAAAAUACUAGGACAUAUUUAAUGCACAAUUGGCAAAAUGGUUGGGUGCAAAAAGUUUUGAUCCACCUCUCGUGAAAAAGACAAAUUUCUGACGAUUUAGGUGGAAGCGGGUCAAAUUUGAACUGCAGUUGCCUCAUAGUUUGCUAUUUAUUUUUUCCAAAAAUCAUUUCUAGUUACAUAAGUAUCUAUUUAAUCAGAGAAACACCAAAAAAAUUCCAAGAUUCAACCACUAGCUAGGAACGGUCAUUCCCGCCGUUUUGACCGCAUUUUGAAACGGGCAUAAAAAAUUCAAAAAAAACAAAAAAUUAGGAAACCUUCGCAUUGUGUCAUUAUAUGUGGAAAAGUUCUCAGGAAAAAUAACAAACUUGUAAUACGGCAAUUAUUUUAAAAAAGUGUUCUCAGAAAUGAGCUAUCAUCUCUCAAGAUUCAUGGCUUUUUAGCCAAAUGAUCAAUUUUAUGGCCACAUUCAUGGCAUAGUUUGUUCAAAUGAUCUCAUAUUGUGCACAAGGGUGCAUAUUGGAAUGGCAAACAAUGUUGCCUAAGAAAGUUUUCAUUUUCUUUGCACAAAAAAACCAUUUUUCACUUUCCGAGUGCCCAAAAGGAGGUUUUUUUGUGAAGGACCUCCCAAAUAAUUGUUGUAAAAUUGGACCAAAUCAAUUUUCUAAAAUACUAGGACAUAUUUAAUGCACAAUUGACAAAAUGGUUGGGUGCAAAAAGUUUUGAUCCACCUCUCGUGAAAAAGACAAAUUUCCGCCGAUUCAGUUGGAAGUGUGUCAAAUUUGAACUGCAGCUGCCUCAUAGUUUGCUAUUUAUUUUUUCCAAAAAUCAUUUCUAGUUACAUAAGUAUCUAUUUAAUCAGAGAAACACCAAAAAAUUCCAAGAUUCAACCACUAGCUAGGAACGGUCAUUCCCGCCAUUUUGACCGCAUUUUGAAACGAGCAUAAAAAAUUCAAAAAAAUCAAAAAAUUGGGAAACAUUCGCAUUGUGUCAUUAUAUGUGGACAAGUUCCUAGGAAAAAUAACAAACUUGUAAUACGGCAAUUAUUUUAAAAAAGUGUUCUCACAAUUGAGCUAUCAUCUUUCAAAAUUCAUGGCUUUCAAGCCAAAUGAUCAAUCUUAUGGCCACAUUCGUGGCAUAGUUUGUUCAAAUGAUCUCAUAUUGUGCACAAGGGUGCAUAUUGGAAUGGCAAACAAUGUUGCCUAAGGAAGUUUUCAUUUUCUUUGGACAAAAAACCAUUUUUCAUUUUCUGAGUGCCCAAAAGGAGGUUUUUUUGUGAAGGACCUCCCAAAUAAUUGUUGUAAAAUUGGACCAAAUCAAUUUUCUAAAAUACUAGGACAUAUUUAAUGCACAAUUGACAAAAUGGUUGGGUGAAAAAAGUUUUGAUCCACCUCUUGUGAAAAAGACAAAUUUCCGCCGAUUCAGUUGGAAGCGGGUCAAAUUUGAACUGCAGCUACCUCAUAGUUUGCUAUUUAUUUUUUCCAAAAAUCAUUUCUAGUUACAUAAGUAUCUAUUUAAUCAGAGAAACACCAAAAAAUUCCAAGAUUCAACCACUAGCUAGGAACGGUCAUUCCCGCUGUUUUGACCGCAUUUUGAAACGGGCAUAAAAAAUUCAAAAAAAAUCAAAAAAUUAGGAAACCUUCGCAUUGUGUCAUUAUAUGUGGACAAGUUCCCAGGAAAAAUAACAAACUUGUAAUACGGCAAUUAUUUUAAAAAAGUGUUCUCAGAAAUGAGCUAUCAUCUCUGAAGAUUCAUGGCUUUCAAGCCACAUGAUCAAUCUUAUGGCCAUAUUUGUGGCAUAGUUUGUUCAAAUGAUCUCAUAUUGUGCACAAGGGUGCAUAUUGGAAUGGAAAACAAUUUUGCCUAAGGAAGUUUUCAUUUUCUUUGGACGAAAAAACCAUUUUUCAUUUUUCGAGUGCCCAAAAGGAGGUUUUUUGUGAAGGACCUCCCAAAUAAUUGUUGCAAAAUUGGACCAAAUCAAUUUUCUAAAAUACUAGGACAUAUUUAAUGCACAAUUGACAAAAUGGUUGUGUGCAAAAAGUUUUGAUCCACCUCUCGUGAAAAAGACAAAUUUCGCCGAUUCAGUUGGAAGCGGGUCAAAUUUGAACUGCAGCUGCCUCAUAGUUUGCUAUUUAUUUUUUCCAAAAAUCAUUUCUAGUUACAUAAGUACCUAUCUAAUCAUAAAUACAUGGUUUGGUGGCGAUACGUCGAGGUUUGGGCGGUGGCCGAGAGCCCCAACUCUAGAGCGCGUAAACUCGCAUGCCCGCCGCGUGGUCACCACGUGACCGUGGUGUUGCCAUGUGUUCUGGGUGGCCUAGGUAUGUCUAGUGGGUUGGGCACUCCCCAUGUAAGUGCUAGGAAGAAAAUCACAACAUAAGAUUCUCACGAGGAGACCGAUCGAUGCUCAAACAUGAAUAAGCAGCCAAGUGUUUGAUUUGCGGUACGGGAAAUGCACAUGGCUAAUGGGCGUGAGUUUUGGAUGAGGAUGAUCAGUUACUAAGAAGACCGUCUUCACAAAUUUUCACCUAAAAAGGAGGAGCCUAGGUGGUACUUGCUUUACAAAGUACCACACUGGACAUAAAUACGAAUGUUGAAGCUCGGCUCAAAAUAAUGAAUGGAUUGAGCUGGCAUUUGGUGGAGGAUGGUUAUUUGGGCAUAGGAAAGCACUGUAGAAAAUGGAUACUAUUUGGACAUGCCAAAGUGGUACUUCCUUCACAAAGUGCUGCUCUGAACAGAAUAGGAAAAUGAAUAUUUUCGAAUUAUUUUUGAACUAGGCAAGGAAUGUUUUUGACAUAUUUGAUGAAGAUAUGAUCCAAAACAUUUAUGAGAUUUUUUUGGGAAUUUUAGGAAUAAUAAAAAUAUAGGUUGCUUCACAACCUAGGGCAAAAACUGCCACAUGCACAUGACACAUAGGCAAAAUUGAUGAGAUGGCGCCUAGUCAUCACAACCCACCACAAUCUACAAGGCUAUGACCAUCUAUAUUGGUCAUUUACAACUAGAAAUAAGGCAGCGGACUAGCACUGUUUGCUUUGUGACCAUUUCGUAUAAGGAAAUUACGACUUUCUGACCAAAAUGGUCGCAAUGGUUUAGGGUUUGGAGCCCCCCGAACAGCUUUUGACCAAUUGGUCUGAAAUGGUCAUAGAUAUAUGACCAAUUCUUCCAGGUUCACUGAUAGAAGGGCACUAGUUGACAUAUUUCUUGUAGUGGGCCAUCAUCUGGAAUGAAGGGCUCUCCAGAAGAAGUAUUUACGAGAUCCUAGAGUUAGAUUUAACAAAAUCAUUUAACCCGAAUAGAAGAGAGAUCAGAGUCCCAGAGUAUAGACGAGGAGUAAAAGAUCCUAAUACCACCCAAUGGCGAUGUGGGCCUGCAAGCCGCACAACCAUGUUAGUAAAUCAGUUUUUCAAAGACUAAACACAAUUUCGGCCAAGGAGUUGGAAAGGGGGAUCCUACAGGCAGUCGGCUCUGAUACCAACUUGUAACGCCCCCGAUUCAAUCGUACACUAAUCAUACACGCAAAUGUGUACGAUCGAGAUCAGGGACUCAUGGGAAGAUAUCACAACACAACUCUAGACAGAAACAAAAUAAUACAAGCUUUAUAUUACAAGCCAGGGGCCUCGAGGGCUCGAAUACAUAGCUCGAAACACAAGAGUCAGCGGAAGCAACAAUAUCUGAGUACAGACAUAAGUUAAACAAGGGUGCCUUAAGAAGGCUAGCACAAAAGCAACACGAUCGAAGAGGCAAUGCCUCCUGCCUGGGACCUCCUAACUACACCUGGUCGUCGACGGCCUCCACGUAGUAGCAUCCGUCGGCGGUGGCAUCUGGGUCCAAGGAUCCACCAUCUGGUUGCAUCAACCGGAAAGAAUAAAGAAGGGGGAAAAGGGGUAGCAAAGCAACCGUGAGUACUCAUCCAAAGUACUCGCAAGCAUCAGAUCUAUACUAAGUAUGCAUUUGUAUCAAAUGGAAGGGUUGUAUCUGUGGACUGCACUGCAGAAUGCCGGAAUAGAGGGGGAAAGCCUAGCCUAUCGAAGACUAGCAUAUUCGCGCAGCUCCGAGCAUCUUGCAGCAUGUAGAAGAGUAAAGAAUAGCAGUUUAAUAUUUAACAAACAUGUUGUAACAUUAAUGCCCAGAGAUCCUUCCUUGACACCCUGCGAGAAAGCAAUCCCGGAGCCACAUAUCUCAAGUAUCCAUUUGCAGUUGUAUAAGAUCAGGAUAUAAGUCUGAACGUCCAUUACCGUGGACACGGUAUUCGAAUAUAUAACUUCCCUGCAGGGGUGCACCACGUUACCCAACACGCUCGAUCACUCUGGCCGGACACACCUUUCUGGGGUCAAUGCCCGCCCUCGGAAGAUCAACACGUCGCAGCCCUACCUAGGCUCAGCAGAGAGGUCCCCGCCUGUCUACAUCCUAAGCACUCCGGGGUCUUGGGCCCAUCGCCCGCAGCACUCCGGGUCAUUGUGUGCAGGGUGGAUACCAGCACGCCUCGGAUGGCCAACACGAUCCGACCAUGCCACAAUGCUGAACUGGACGUCUGACAAAGCUUCGGCUGAUACUGCGACGUCGAGGCCCAUAUCUAUUCUCGUGUGGUGGUUAGUGCGUAAAAGCAAGAGGUCAACUCAGAACAAAUACCCAAACCAUAGUGUAUUAUUAGUUUGCGGAGACGAGCAGAGACUCACGAUCGAAAGUGACCCCGUCGCCCCGUCUCGCGGACUUACGACAAGGGCCUAGAAUGCCCGGCCGUGCCACGUAACCAUCUUGCGGGUGCUCUCUGGGCCCGCCCGACUUUCACCAAGGUCCCAAGUAAAGUCAAUUGUAACCGUGUGUCCAGACAUCAAGGGGAAAACCCGAGGAAUCACCCUCGGUGGAUUCCACUCAAUGUAAUCAUCAAGGUGAACGUAAGAGAGACCACCCUCGAGGUUCACACUUGAGGUGUUGAACGACAGAGCCGUAUCGGGAAUGGUGAAAGAGGAAAUCACCCUCGAUGGCCACGACCGAAUAGCUACACUACAAAAUUAUUAUCAGGAGUGCGUUAUGAGGGAUCACCCUCGGCACUCGAUAGUAGCUCUGGAGAGUCGAGCAACUAAAGGGGCGUGAUUUGAUGUGAGGUGUAGGGCUCUGGUCGUCGAUCACGUCGAUCGAGGUGUCGAUGAUGAAGCAGGGGCAACAAGGACAAGUGGUGGUCACUGAUGGAUCACUAGCCAACCUAUACUAAGCAGUUUAGGAUAAGCAGAUAGGUAACAAUAAGCAGGUACAAAAGCAGGCUAUGCAUCAGAAUAGGAGCAAACAAUAACAGUAGCAAAAUCUAAUGCAAGCACGAGAGUAUAGAAUGGGCGAUAUCGGGAUGAUCAAAGGGGGGGCUUGCCUGGUUGCUCAGACAAGAAGGAGGGUCGUCGGUGAGGUAGUCGAUCACAGUGGCAUCAGCAGCGGCCUCGAGGUCUAGCGGAGAGAAGAGGGGGAAGAAAAUAGUAAAUACAUAGCAAGCAAGAGCAUAACAGUACAACAGGCAGAGCUAGACGUGUUCUAACGUGACGCUAGGUGAUACUGGCGAAGGGGGAAACAUCCGGGAAAGUAUUCCUGGUUCCGGACGUCUGUCAGACAGAUGAACCAGAGGGGAAAGGUUGCAUGUUUACUAUGCUAGGGAUGUGUGGCGGGCGAACAUACCGCAUAUUCGGAUUCGUCUCGUCGUUCUGAGCAACUUUCAUGUACAAAGUAUUUUAAUCCGAGCUACGGUUUAUUUUAGAUGAUUUUCUAAAGUCUAAACAAUAUUCUAAAAUUAUUUCUAAUUAUUAAAUUCGACAGAAAAGGAAUAAUGACGCCAGCAUGAGGUCAGAGUGAUGUCAGCAGUCAACAGGGCAUUGACUGGUCAAAACUGACUUGUGGAUCCCACUGUCAUUGACACAGUUUAGCUAAACAAUAUAAGACUAAUUAAUCUAAUUAAUCAGGUUAUUAAGCAUGUUAAUUAAGUUAAUUAAUCAUAUUACUAAUUAAUCAUAUUACUAGUUAAUCAUAUAAGACUAACUAGGGCUAUUCCACAUGUCAUAGGGUACAACUAAAACUAAGUCUAAUAUAAAUUAGUCUAACAAAGGGGCUUGUUUAACUAGGGAUUAGCCCUAAGCUAGCAAAGGGCCGGCCACACACGGCUGUGGCAAAAGGCAGCCACACACAGAACACACAUACGCUGCACACACACCACACAGCACACUUGGCCAUGGCCGUGGCCAUUGCCAGUAGCAGCAGCAGCCGGUGGUAGUGGGCAGCAGUAGUACCAGCAACAGAGCAGCAUAGCAGCGGGCUAAGCACGAAGCAGCAGUAACAGCAACUAGCAGAUACAGCAGUAAUAAACAGCAGCAGAGAGCAGCGGCACAAGCAGUUCAGCGCAGCAGGCAGCGGCGAAAAGUAGCAGUUGCAGGCGCAACGCACGACGACGGGAGUGGCGGGGUGCGACCAGGGGACGGCCGGUGCGCGGCCUGUCGCGGCCAGGGUGCGCGUACCGGGCGCCGUGGCGCGAGGCUGCUCGGACCGCGGCCAACGGCCGGAGCUUGGGCGACACGGGCGUGGCCGAGCGCGAGGCUGCGGCGCAGCCGAUGCCGAGGAGCAGCAGCAGGGCAAGCACGCAGAGCAGGGGGCGCGACCCCGGGCAGAUGCGCACGCGCGAGGGCGCGGACUAGGACGGCCAGGGACGCGGGGGAAGGCACGGCCACGACGAGCUCGUAGCCAUGGCGGACGACGGUUUCGGCCACGGACAGGAGGGGCGCUGAGGGCGACAGUGGCGGGCGUGCCUCGGCUCUAAUGGCGAUGGGGGCUUCGGGCACGGGAUACACGGAGGAAAACGGAGGGGAAUCGACCGCAAGCUCACCAGAGGAGCACAUGGAGGCUCGGUGUUUGCUUAGGAGCAGUAGAGCGACGGCAAUCGUCGGAGAAGCUCGUCAGAGCCGAAGGUGAAGAAGAGAUCGCAGUGCUCGCUGCAGGGGGUCCCUCCAUGAUCCAGUGGGCGAGGAGGAUGGAGCAGUCGACGGCGGUGCCCUCGGACUCGGUCUUAUGGCGCGGGGACGAUGGUGGCCGCGGGAUCGACGAAGGCGACGACGAUGGAGGCGUCGGGUAGAUGUGGGGGGAGUGCAGGAGUGGGGAAAAUAUCUGGUGGGGGGAGCUGACGAAGCUGAGGGGACUCUACCUUAUCCCCUCGGCGCGGCAGCGAUGCGGGGGCGGCGAGCGGGUUCGGCGAGGACAGCGGGCGUACCUCGGUCGGCUUCCCCUGUAGCGAGGUGGAAGGCGACCGAGGGGGAGUUGGGUCGGGCUGGCUCGGUGAGAUGGGCCAAGGCCCGGGGGUCAGGGGAGGCCUUUCUUUCUCUUUUGCUUUGUUUUAUUUUCUUUAAUUUAUUUACAGUAUUUUUUAAUAGCAAUUUGUUUCAUAAAAUAUAAGGACAAUACCUAAAUUGGUGUUACUAAUUAUACCAAUGUCACAAUGAGUUUGAGGUCCGAAUAACAUAGUUUAGUAUUUUUAUAAUUUAAAAAGCAUUUAAUAAUUCUUUUUAGCCAAUGUUAUAUUCACAAAAGGGCAUUUAAAUAUUUUACAAAAGUGUUGGGUCACCAUCAUAAUUAGUUAUGGAGUAUUUGCCACAUUUGAACAUUUUAUUUUAGACAUUUGAAAACUUUUGAGUUUGACUCGAUUUUGAAUUUGAAAUUUGAACCGGUUUCGAACCAACGCGAGUUUAUCAACAGUAACCGUGGUGACGUGGCCUCAUUAGAAGAGGGUUACUGCAGCUUAAUUAUC